Nicotiana tabacum (common tobacco) is the source of this 1246-nucleotide RNA transcript. It is a transcript of the gene named eukaryotic translation initiation factor 2 subunit beta, with no coding region annotated. The record is from RefSeq and is a predicted model, not a curated record. Lineage: Eukaryota; Viridiplantae; Streptophyta; Magnoliopsida; Solanales; Solanaceae.
GUAGCCCAACUAAUUAGGGUAACAGAAACGCAACUCUUGCCCCUAUCCAAAUCCAAAAGAGAGAGCGAGCGAAAGAAAAAACUUGCAUUUUCAUCGGCUGUGAAGAUAAACGAAUCACUCGAUUGAAAGAUCUUAGUGCAGUCAUGGCUGAAGAAGAGAAUCAGAACGAAUUAAAGGAGGAGGUGACUGACAUAGCUCCUUUUGAUCCUACAAAAAAGAAGAAAAAGAAGAAGGUUGUAAUUCAAGAUCCUGCAGAUGACUCUGUUGAUAGCUUGGCUGAGAAAACUGAGAAUUUAACUGUUUCUGAGGGCCUUGAUGCUACGUUUUCUGGUAAAAAGAAGAAGAAGAAGCCGGCACACACUGAUCUCCUGAGUGAUGAGAAGGAAAGUGUCGGCGAAGAUGUGGAAGAUCACCUUGGAGAUGAUGAAGCUGCUGGAGAAAUUGUCCUACAACAAUAUCCUUGGGAGGGAACUGAUCGAGAUUAUGAAUAUGAGGAGCUUCUGGGUAGAGUAUUCAACAUUCUCCGCGAGAAUAAUCCUGAACUUGCUGGAGAUAGGCGUAGGACAGUUAUGAGGCCUCCUCAAGUUCUUCGUGAAGGCACAAAGAAAACUGUGUUUGUGAAUUUCAUGGAUCUUUGCAAGACGAUGCAUAGGCAGCCAGAGCAUGUUAUGACUUUCUUGCUGGCUGAAAUGGGGACUAGUGGAUCACUUGAUGGGCAGCAAAGAUUGGUCAUCAAGGGAAGAUUUGCUCCAAAGAAUUUUGAAGGAAUCCUCCGGCGAUACGUCAAUGAGUAUGUCAUUUGCAAUGGAUGUAAAAGUCCAGAUACUAUCCUUUCUAAGGAGAACCGUCUAUUCUUCCUCAGAUGUGAGAAGACCAUGGGAUACAGGAUGUGUACAGUGUAGAAACUGUUCCUCUUUGGGCUUUCACAGAUGCAAGUGCCUGCUGCUUCUUGGCUACUUGUUAGGCAUCCUGUGAUGGAACGUGACCGUAUCAUGUUGUCAGAUCAUACGCCUAAUGCGGUUCUGGAAGAUCAGUUGCUCCUAUCAAGGCUGGUUUCGUUGCUCGUGUUGGCAGGCGGAAAGCUGGGACUUAAGCCGGCUUUGUUAAGUUUUGUAUGGUAUGCUUUGUGUUUAACUGAGAGAUGAUAUUGACAUGUGGUGCAACUUUGCUUAUGAAGAGAGCUAAUCUAGAUUCAAUCUUACACGUUUCGAUAUACUAACAUAUACAAUGACUUGAUUUGAUGGCA